Long non-coding RNA from Eriocheir sinensis (Chinese mitten crab), 976 nucleotides. RefSeq lists it as uncharacterized. The record is from RefSeq and is a predicted model, not a curated record. The transcript has 3 exons. Lineage: Eukaryota; Metazoa; Arthropoda; Malacostraca; Decapoda; Varunidae.
CCACGCCUUUUCCACACCCAAGGCCUCCGCACGCCCAGCCACGCCUCGCCUAACUUCCCGCCGCCACCCCUGUUCAAUUCGACACAAAAUUGGUACGUUUAUGCUAAUCGUGCCGCGUAAUUCACAGGCUGCCUCUGCUGUUGCUGGCGCUGUGUCGUGAGUUCUGUUGAGACUCGUUUACCUGUGCUGUCUACCGAGGGAUCGCGCAGGUAAAGGUGGUGAGCGGACAGGUGAGAUUUCUUGGGUUUCCAUUUUUUCAUUUGUUUUGCUUGUUUUCUUGUGGUGCUUCAUAUUGCUUUCUUAUUUCUUGUUGAUUAAGGUCCAAAUUGCUUUCUUUUUUCUUGUUAAUUAAGGUCCAUAUUGCUUUCUUUUUUCUUGUUAAUUAAGGUCCAUAUUACUUUCUUUUUUCUUGUUAAUUAAGGUCCACAUUGCUUUCUUUUUUCUUGUUAAUUAAGGUCCAUAUUGCUUUCUUUUUUCUUGUUGAUUAAGGUCCAUAUUGCUUUCUUUUUUCUUGUUAAUUAAGGUCCAAAUUGCUUUCUUUUUUCUUGUUAAUUAAGGUCCAAAUUGCUUUCUUUUUUCUUGUUAAUUAAGGUCCAUAUUGCUUUCUUUUUUCUUGUUAAUUAAGGUCCAUAUUGCUUUCUUUUUUCUUGUUAAUUAAGGUCCAAAUUGCUUUCUUUUUUCUUGUUGAUUAAGGUCCAUAUUGCUUUCUUUUUUCUUGUUGAUUAAGGUCCAAAUUGCUUUCUUUUUUCUUGUUAAUUAAGGUCCAAAUUGCUUUCUUUUUUCUUGUUAAUUAAGGUCCAUAUUGCUUUCUUUUUUCUUGUUAAUUAAGGUCCAUAUUGCUUUCUUUUUUCUUGUUAAUUAAGGUCCAAAUUGCUUUCUUUUUUCUUGUUAAUUAAGGUCCAUAUUGCUUUCUUUUUUCUUGUUGAUUAAGGUCCAUAUUGCUUUCUUUUUUCUUGUUGAUUAAGGUCCAUAUUGC